AGAGAACUGUUGUUAAGGAACUCGGCAAAAUGACCCCGUAACUUAGGGAUAAGGGGUGCCACCAUCAGGUGGCCGCAGAGAAUAGGCCCAAGCGACUGUUUACCAAAAACAUAGGUUUCUGCUAAGUCGCAAGACGAUGUAUAGGAGCUGACGCCUGCCCGGUGCUGGAAGGUUAAGGGGAUCUGUUAGAGCAAUCGAAGCAGUGAACUUAAGCCCCAGUAAACGGCGGCCGUAACUAUAACGGUCCUAAGGUAGCGAAAUUCCUUGUCGGGUAAGUUCCGACCCGCACGAAAGGCGUAACGAUUUGGGCACUGUCUCAACAACAGACUCGGUGAAAUUGUAAUUCCGGUGAAGAUGCCGGAUACCUGCGACAGGACGGAAAGACCCCAUGGAGCUUUACUGUAGCUUGACAUUGGGUCUUGGUACUACAUGUACAGGAUAGGGUGGGAGGCUUUGAAACCAGGACGCCAGUUUUGGCGGAGCCAUCCUUGGGAUACCACCCUUGUAGUACUGGGACUCUAACCAUAGGCCAUGAAUCUGGUCUUGGGACACUGUCAGGUGGGCAGUUUGACUGGGGCGGUCGCCUCCCAAAAGGUAACGGAGGCGCUCAAAGGUUCUCUCAGUACGGUCGGAAAUCGUACGUAGAGUGUAAAGGCAAAAGAGAGCUUGAUUGCAAGACAUACAGGUCGAGCAAGGAUGAAAAUCGGACUUAGUGAUCCGGUGGUUCUGCGUGGAAGGGCCAUCGCUCAACGGAUAAAAGCUACCCUGGGGAUAACAGGCUUAUCUCCCCCAAGAGUCCACAUCGACGGGGAGGUUUGGCACCUCGAUGUCGGCUCAUCACAUCCUGGGGCUGUAGUAGGUCCCAAGGGUUGGGCUGUUCGCCCAUUAAAGUGGUACGCGAGCUGGGUUCAGAACGUCGUGAGACAGUUCGGUCCCUAUCCGUCGCAGGCGUAGGAAAUUUGAGAAGACCUGUCCUUAGUACGAGAGGACCGGGAUGGACGUACCUCUGGUGUACCAGUUGUUCUGCCAAGGGCAUGGCUGGGUAGCUAUGUACGGAAUGGAUAAGCGCUGAAAGCAUCUAAGCGCGAAGCCAACUUCAAGAUAAGAUUUCCCACCGCAAGGGUAAGACCCCAGAAAGACUAUCUGGUUGAUAGGUCGAAGGUGUAAGUGCAGCAAUGUAUUUAGCUUAUCGAUACUAAUAGGUCGAGGACUUGACCAAU
Molecule: ribosomal RNA, 1220 nt
Filed under: Clostridioides difficile
Lineage: Bacteria; Bacillati; Bacillota; Clostridia; Peptostreptococcales; Peptostreptococcaceae
Description: bacterial LSU rRNA
Rfam family: Bacterial large subunit ribosomal RNA
Source: RNAcentral